This 1603-nucleotide ribosomal RNA is filed under the name human metagenome. RNAcentral's name for it is "bacterial LSU rRNA". It matches the Rfam family "Bacterial large subunit ribosomal RNA", at positions 502 to 2123 of the family's 2925-position model. The record is from RNAcentral.
CGUGAGGGAAAGGUGAAAAGAACCCCGGGAGGGGAGUGAAAUAGAACCUGAAACCGUUAAGCUUACAAGCAGACAGAGCGCGUUAAGGCGUGAUGUCGUACUUUUUGUAGAACGGGCCGGCGAGUUACGAUGUGAUGCGAGGUUAAGUGUUAAAGACACGGAGCCGAAGCGAAAGCGAAUCUGAAGAGGGUGCAAAGUAUCAUGUCGUAGACCCGAAACCGAAUGACCUAACCAUGAGCAGGUUGAAGCAAUGGUAAAACGUUGUGGAGGACCGAACACACGCCUGUUGAAAUAGUCGGUGAUGACUUGUGGUUAGCGGAGAAAUUCCAAACGAAUUCGGAUAUAGCUGGUUCUCCUCGAAAUAGCUUUAGGGCUAGCCUCGUAUAUAAUCCUUGUGGGUAGAGCACUAAAUGGCCUAGGGGGCUUCACAGCCUACCGAAGCUUAUUAAACUCCGAAUCGCAAGGAAUUGAGUACGGGAGUCAGACAGCGACAGCUAAGUGCCGUUGUCAAAAGGGAAACAGCCCAGAUCUACAGCUAAGGUCCCCAAGUACAGGUUAAGUGGAAAAGGAUGUGACAAUGCAUAGACAACCAGGAUGUUGGCUCAGAAGCAGCCACGCAUUAAAAGAGUGCGUAAUAGCUCACUGGUCGAGUGAUGUUGCGCCGAAAAUUAACGGGGCUCAAACCUGACACCGAAGCUUAGGAAUACGCGAUGCGUAUUGGUAGAGGAGCAAUGUAUACGCGCAGAAGCCGUACCGGAAGGAGCGGUGGAGUGUAUAGAAGAGAGAAUGCCGGCAUAAGUAGCGAGAGCGGAGCGAGAAACUCCGCCGUCGAAAGUCUGAGGUUUUCCGGGGAAGGUUCGUCCGCCCGGAGUAAGUCGGGACCUAAGCGGAGGCCGAAAGGCGUACGUGAUGGACAACAGGUUGAUAUUCCUGUACUACCGAGAAAGAUAAUGAUGCAGUGACACGGAAAGAUAGAAGAAGCGCGCAGAUGGAAAAGCGCGUCCAAGCAAUGAGGGCGGCUGGUAGUAAAGAACGCCAGUCAAAAAGCCUGAGUUGUGACGGGGAGUGGACCAAGGAAACGAAGUCUUCGAAUCUACGCCGGCGAGAAAAGCUGCUAAAUAUUUCGAGGUACCCGUACCGCAAACCGACACAGGUAGACGAGAAGAAAAUUCUAAGACGAACGGGAGAACCCUUGUUAAGGAACUCGGCAAAAUGACCCCGUAACUUCGGGAGAAGGGGAGCCACUGAAAGGUGGCCGCAGUAAAGAGGCCCAAGCGACUGUUUAUCAAAAACACAGGUUUCUGCUAAGGCGAAAGCCAAGGUAUAGGAGCUGACUCCUGCCCAGUGCCGGAAGGUCAAGGGGAUUCGUUAGCGCAAGCGAAGCGAUGAACUUAAGCCCCGGUGAACGGCGGCCGUAACUAUAACGGUCCUAAGGUAGCGAAAUUCCUUGUCGGGUAAGUUCCGACCCGCACGAAUGGAGUAACGAUUUGGGCACUGUCUCAACAGGGGGCCCGGCGAAAUUGUAGUAUACGUGAAGAUGCGUAUUAACCCGCGACUGGACGGAAAGACCCCGUAGAGCUUUACUGUAACUUGAUAUUGAAUC